AGAUAAUUGGACACAAAUAUUCAGACCAUCAAUGUUCGAGAUGUAAUGGAGAAGAUAAUAUUAUCCCAGAAGUCCGCCUAGAAUAAAAGAAUCAAGAAGAUAAGCAUGCCAGCUGGAAAGAAGAUAAAAAAUCAACAGAUACGAACAAAAGAUAAAAAGAAGACGGAGCAAAAAUAGACAAAGCAUUAAAGGAAGAAAGCGACAUAUAGAGAAAAGAAAAAGCUAA
Molecule: long non-coding RNA, 226 nt
Filed under: Capsicum annuum
Lineage: Eukaryota; Viridiplantae; Streptophyta; Magnoliopsida; Solanales; Solanaceae
Description: long non-coding RNA (CANN_LNC013804)
Source: RNAcentral